Molecule: ribosomal RNA, 360 nt
Filed under: Triticum aestivum (bread wheat)
Lineage: Eukaryota; Viridiplantae; Streptophyta; Magnoliopsida; Poales; Poaceae
Description: partial small subunit ribosomal RNA
Source: RNAcentral
AUGGCAAGGUAUUGGUGGAGCAGCUCAAUUGAUCGCAAAUCUCUGCACUGGAUUGAUUGGACCACUCUAGCCAAACCAAAAGUUGCAGGAGGCAUGGGGUUUUCUGACUUGGAGGUGUUCAAUAUAGCUCUACUUGGAAAACAUGGCUGGAACAUGAUUAUGAACCCGGAUUCUCUCUGUGCUCGAGUACUGAAGGGGAAGUAUUUCCCCAACAAUGAGUUUAUGGAGGUUACCAUUCCUAAAUAUGCCUCGACUACCUAGCGUGCGAUCAUUGCUGGCCGGCAAGCUCUGCGUGCAGGUUUGAUCAAACGGAUAGGAGACGGCACUUCGGUAUCUGUUUGGAAUGACAGCUGGGUUCCC